RNAcentral lists this ribosomal RNA (452 nucleotides) under uncultured bacterium. Its description in RNAcentral is "partial 16S ribosomal RNA". It matches the Rfam family "Bacterial small subunit ribosomal RNA", at positions 29 to 507 of the family's 1533-position model. The record is from RNAcentral.
AACAAACGCUGGCGGCGUGCCUAAUACAUGCAAGUCGAACGGGGUAGCAAUACCUAGUGGCGCACGGGUGAGUAACGCGUGGAUAAUCUGCCUUAGAGUGGGGGAUAACUAGUCGAAAGAUUAGCUAAUACCGCAUAAGACCACAAGAGCUGCGGCUCAAGGGGUCAAAGGUUUUUCGCUCUAAGAUGAGUCCGCGUAAGAUUAGCUAGUUGGUGAGGUAAUGGCUCACCAAGGCGACGAUCUUUAACUGGUCUGAGAGGAUGAUCAGUCACACUGGAACUGAGACACGGUCCAGACUCCUACGGGAGGCAGCAGUAGGGAAUAUUGCACAAUGGAGGAAACUCUGAUGCAGCGACGCCCGUGAGUGAUGAAGGCCUUCGGGUCGUAAAGCUCUGUCGCAGGGGAAUAACACAAUGAAUGUACCCUGUAAGAAAGGAUCGGCUAACUUCGUG